GUGGGGAAUCUUGCACAAUGGGCGCAAGCCUGAUGCAGCAACGCCGCGUGCGGGAAGAAGGCCCUAGGGUUGUAAACCGCUUUCAGCAGGGAAGAAACUGACGGUACCUGCAGAAGAAGGUGCGGCCAACUACGUGCCAGCAGCCGCGGUGACACGUAGGCACCAAGCGUUGUCCGGAUUUAUUGGGCGUAAAGAGCUCGUAGGCGGUUCGGUAAGUCGGGUGUGAAAUCUCUGGGCUCAACCCAGAGGGGCCACCCGAUACUGCUGUGACUAGAGUGCGGUAGGGGAGUGGGGAAUUCCUGGUGUAGCGGUGAAAUGCGCAGAUAUCAGGAGGAACACCAGUGGCGAAGGCGCCACUCUGGGCCGUAACUGACGCUGAGGAGCGAAAGCGUGGGUAGCAAACAGG
RNAcentral lists this ribosomal RNA (406 nucleotides) under uncultured bacterium. RNAcentral's name for it is "bacterial SSU rRNA". It matches the Rfam family "Bacterial small subunit ribosomal RNA", at positions 354 to 776 of the family's 1533-position model. The record is from RNAcentral.